GUGGGUAGUCCGCACGAGCGCACCUCACUUUUAGUUGCCAUCAUUAAGUUGGGCACUCUGAAAGAACUGCCAGUGAUAAGCUGGAGGAAGGUGGGGAUGACGUCAAGUCCUCAUGGCCCUUACGUGUUGGGCUACACACGUGCUACAAUGGCAUCUACAACAGGAAGCAAAACGGCAACGUUAAGCAAAUCCCGAAAAGAUGCCUCAGUUCGGAUUGCACUCUGCAACUCGCGUGCAUGAAGCUGGAAUUACUAGUAAUCGUGGAUCAGCGUGCCACGGUGAAUGCGUUCCCGGGUCUUGUACACACCGCCCGUCACACCAUGGGAGUUGGUUCUACCUUAAGGCAAGGUUUUAAACCCUUGACCACGGUAUAGUCAGCGACUGGGGUGAAGUCGUAACAAGGUAGCCGUAGGGGAACCUGCGGCUGGAUUACCUCCUUUCU
This 442-nucleotide ribosomal RNA is filed under the name uncultured Pelagibacterales bacterium. RNAcentral's name for it is "bacterial SSU rRNA". It matches the Rfam family "Bacterial small subunit ribosomal RNA", at positions 1074 to 1533 of the family's 1533-position model. Lineage: Bacteria; Pseudomonadati; Pseudomonadota; Alphaproteobacteria; Candidatus Pelagibacterales. The record is from RNAcentral.